UGAAAUUAAAGUGCCAAAUCAACUAAAAAAGAUGAACACAACCAUAGUUCAUGCUACCACAUGAUGUGAGUUGAUUUUAGGUUGAUUCAUUAGGUAACACUUUUUAGAAUUAGGAUCGGUAAUUCUUAAGCAAUUAAGGUGAGAAGUCUAAGGAAAAUCCCCACUGGACAUUAACUUAACAAAUUCCUUUACCAAAUUUGCCAAACAAUGAGGACUAUCUA
This 221-nucleotide long non-coding RNA is filed under the name Phaseolus vulgaris (common bean). Its description in RNAcentral is "long non-coding RNA (PVUL_LNC004451)". The record is from RNAcentral. Lineage: Eukaryota; Viridiplantae; Streptophyta; Magnoliopsida; Fabales; Fabaceae.